This 717-nucleotide long non-coding RNA is filed under the name Marmota monax (woodchuck). The record is from RNAcentral. Lineage: Eukaryota; Metazoa; Chordata; Mammalia; Rodentia; Sciuridae.
UUUUCACUUAGUGAUAAUCUUGUGUAGAAAUUCCAAAUGAAAAAACCUGUAGGAAGUAUGUGAUCCUCUUUGCUCACAUCUGUGAGCAUAUCACAGUCAAGGAUGAACCUAGCUGAGGACUUCACAGCAAGGAAAGAUGUUCUCACUAAAAUCACAGUGUUAGCAUUCUUGGCAGUUCAAUGGUCUCCGCUGUAGCUGUUGGUUUACAUUUUGAUAAUUUACCAAAGAGCAUAUCAUAUUUAAUAUCUAGCUGGAUUGUGCAACUGAACACAAUAUUUCCAGUGAAAUGCAUUGCCAUCGUGAAAGUAGGCCUUCUCUCUGGGAACCAGUGGCUCAUUUCUCGCCCAGUUCUUCUGUGGGUCUGAGCGUGACCCGUAGGUUAGAAGUUCUGGAAACCAGGGAGAGAGACACAUCAGGUCACUGUUAACGGGAAAAGAGGUGCUUCGUAUUCUUGUUCCUUUGUGGUCAGUCUUGUUUUCCUUUCUUGGUCUGGGGGUGUUUGGUCUUGCAAAUCCUGGCAUGGCUUAGAGAAGCAGGCACUGACCUUCGGAUGCACUCUUAUUUUACCCCAAGCAUAUUAUUAAUAGGCACCAUUCAUUGCCCUGUUUUUGUGGCUAAAAGUUUUCUGACUUCUAUACUGAGCCGUUGUGUUUCAGUUCAAUAGUGCAAAAGGGCUGGCAUUUUUUGGGGGGGAGGCAAGGGGGAACACCAUUGACC